UCCAUUCGGGUGAGCCAACUU
This 21-nucleotide non-coding RNA is filed under the name Arabidopsis thaliana (thale cress). The record is from RNAcentral. Lineage: Eukaryota; Viridiplantae; Streptophyta; Magnoliopsida; Brassicales; Brassicaceae.